UGGAUUGUUUUAUUGAUCAUGUAAUGCUACCACUCGCUAGUACUUCACCUGCACCUGCGUUGAAAGUACGCGUCAGUACGAGUUCAAUCGAAUCCCCGCACAAAAAAAAUGGCGUCGACGGAUGAUUUUCGUUUGCUGCAGACAAAUGCCUCUUUUAUCGAUCAUGUGCUGUCGAAACAGCGCUUGCAGUCGCGAAGACCGCGAGGUCGCAAGCUGUCAGAUUCGUCAUCUAAUAUUUUCGUCAUCAUCGCAAACAUCAUCCGUCCGUACGCGUUCAAAACAAAAACAAAUGUCGCUUCGCCGCCGCAAAGACGUCGUCGUGACGACCCCGCCUCGCGCGUCGUCGAAGAAUAUCAAUGUCCCUACUCACCCAAGGUGCGCAAUCAGGUGAAGAAUAUUGACACUCUGACACUGUGAGAGGUUUCGCGAUCGCGUCCGUCGCGGGCAGAAAAUCUUCUCGUCGGCGUGCGUUCAGAAUCGAUACCGUUCUUCAAUGACGCGCUCAGAAGCAGAACUGGCGUGUUUGCAGGUAUUUAUCAUCGCGACGCAGCGUCGACGUCCCGCGCGCGUCGCGUCCCGCGCGCGCCUUCGUUCGCAUCGCGUCGCGUCGCAUCACCCGCACGCACCGCACCGCACCGCACCGCACCGCACCGCACCCCGCGCGCGCCGUCGUCGCGUCGCGCGUCGCCUCGCCGGCGGCGGCAUCGUCGACCGCGCGUUCGCGCCCUCGACGCCGCCGCGCGCGCGCGCGCGCG
Molecule: long non-coding RNA, 755 nt
Filed under: Ostreococcus sp. 'lucimarinus'
Lineage: Eukaryota; Viridiplantae; Chlorophyta; Mamiellophyceae; Mamiellales; Bathycoccaceae
Description: long non-coding RNA (OLUC_LNC000020)
Source: RNAcentral